UCUUGUUGUCCUAAUAUCUAAACCACAAUCCCAAAUGUACAAUAUUUCUCUACAAAAAUGAAAACUUUCCUAUAAUAGAAAUUUUGAGAAUUUUAUUUUUAAAAUACAACCUAAUGGUAAAAAAAAUCUAAAAGAAUACUCUUGUAUCAGCAAAAGUUUUUCUUAUCCUAGUUUAUAAAUCACAACCCCAAAUCUACAAUAUUUAUCGAUAAAAAUGAAAACUUUCCUAAAAUAGAAUUUUUGAAAAAUUUAUUUAAAAAAUACAAUAUUUUGAUUAAAAAAAUCAAACAAAAUACUCUUCUAUCAACAGAAAUUCUUGUUGUCCUAAUCUCUAAACCACAAUCCCAAAUGUACAAUAUUUCUCUACAAAAAUGAAAACUUUCCCAAAAUAGAAAUAUUGAGAAUUUUAUUUUUAAAAUACAACCUAUUGAUAAAAAAAUUUAAAAGAAUACUCUUCUAUCAGCAAAAGUUUUUCUUAUCCUAGUUUAUAAAUCACAACCCAAAAUCUACAAUAUUAAUCUAUAAAAAUGAAAUCUUUCCUAAAAUAGAAAUUUUGAGAAUUUUAUUUUUAAAAUAUAACCUAUUGAUAAAAAAAUUUAAAAGAAUACUCUUCUAUCAGAAAAAGUUUUUCUUAUCCUAGUUUAUAAAUCAUAACCCCAAAUCUACAAUAUUUAUCUAUAAAAAUUAACACUUUCCUAAAACAGAAUUUUUGAAAAAUUUAUUUAAAAAAUACAAUAUUUUGAUUAAAAAAAAUCAAACAAAAUACUCUUCUAUCAACAGAAAUUCUUGUUGUCCUAAUUUCUAAACCACAAUCCCAAAUGUACAAUAUUUCUCUACAAAAAUGAAAACUUUCCUAAAAUAAAUUUUUUUUAAACUUUAUUUAAAAAAUAAAAUAUAUUGAUUAAAAAAUCAAACAAAAUACUCUUCUAUCACCAGAAAUUCUUGUUGUCCUAAUCUCUAAACCACAAUCUCAAAUGUACAAUAUUUCUAUACAAAAAUGAAAACUUUCCUAAAAUAGAAUUUUUGAAAACUUUAUUUAAAAAAUACAAUGUAUUGAUAAAAUAUCAGACAAAAUACUCUUCUAUCAACAAAAAUUCUUGUUGUCCUAAUCUCUAAACCACAAUUCCAAAUGUACAAUAUUUCUCUACAAAAAUAAAAACUUUUCUAAAAUAGAAUUUUUGAAAAUUUUAUUUAAAAAAUACAAUAUAUUGAUUAAAAAAAUCAAACAAAAUACUCUUCUAUCAACAAAAAUUCUUGUUGUCCUAAUCUCUAAACCACAAUCCCAAAUGUACAAUAUUUCUCUACAAAAAUGAAAACUUUCCUAAAAUAGAAUUUUUGAGAAUUUUAUUUUUAAAAUACAACCUAUUGAUAAAAAAAUCUAAAAGAAUAGUCUUCUAUCAAAAAAAGUUUUUCUUAUCCUAGUUUAUAAAUCACAACCCCAAAUCUACAAUAUUUCUCUACAAAAAUGAAAACUUUCCUAAAAUAGAAUUUUUGAGAAUUUUAUUUUUAAAAUACAUCAUAUUGAUAAAAAAAUCUAAAAGAAUACUCUUCUAUCAACAAAAGUUUUUCUUAUCCUAAUUUAUAAAUCACAACCCAGAGUCUACAAUAUUUAAUUAUAAAAAUGAAAACUUUCCUAAAAUAGAAUUUUUGAAAAUUUUAUUUAAAAAAUACAAUAUAUUGAUAAAAAAUCAAACAAAAAUACUAUUCUAUCAACAAAAAUUCUUGUUGUCCUAAUCUCUAAACCACAAUCCCAAAUGUACAAUAUUUCUCUACAAAAAAUGAAAACUUUCCUAAAAUAGAAUUUUUGAGAAUUUUAUUUUUAAAAUACAACCUAUUGAUAAAAAAAUCUAAAAGAAUACUCUUCUAUCAACAAAAGUUUUUCUUAUCCUAGUUUAUAAAUCACAACCCCAAAUCUACAAUAUUUAUCUAUAAAAAUGAAAACUUUCCUAAAAUAGAAUUUUUGAAAAAUUUAUUUAAAAAAUACAAUAUAUUGAUAAAAAAAUCAAACAAAAUACUCUUCUAUGAACAAAAAUUCUUGUUGUCCUAAUCUCUAAACCACAAUCCCAAAUGUACAAUAUUUCUCUACAAAAAUGAAAACUUUCCUAAAAUAGAAUUUUUGAAAAAUUUAUUUAAAAAAUACAAUAUAUUGAUAAAAAAAUCAAACAAAAUACUCUUCUAUCAACAAAAAUUCUUGUUGUCCUAAUCUCUAAACC
Molecule: long non-coding RNA, 2213 nt
Filed under: Brassica napus (rape)
Lineage: Eukaryota; Viridiplantae; Streptophyta; Magnoliopsida; Brassicales; Brassicaceae
Description: long non-coding RNA (BNAP_LNC006307)
Source: RNAcentral